RNAcentral lists this ribosomal RNA (1373 nucleotides) under human gut metagenome. RNAcentral's name for it is "bacterial SSU rRNA". It matches the Rfam family "Bacterial small subunit ribosomal RNA". The record is from RNAcentral.
AGAGUUUGAUCCUGGCUCAGGAUGAACGCUAGCGAUAGGCUUAACACAUGCAAGUCGAGGGGUAACAUGGAGAGAAGCUUGCUUCACUCUGAUGACGACCGGCGGAUGGGUGAGUAACGCGUAUGCAACUUGCCUCUUAGUGGGGGAUAACCCGGAGAAAUCCGGACUAAUACCGCAUAUUCUUAAUUUCUCGCAUGAGUUAUUAAGGAAAGAUUUAUUGCUAAGAGAUAGGCAUGCGUUCCAUUAGUUAGUUGACAUUGGGACUGAGACACGGCCCAAACUCCUACGGGAGGCAGCAGUGAGGAAUAUUGGUCAAUGGAGGAAACUCUGAACCAGCCAAGUCGCGUGAAGGAUGACGGUCCUAUGGAUUGUAAACUUCUUUAGUAGGUGAGUAAGGAUAGGUACGUGUACCUAUUAGAAAGUAGCCUAAGAAUAAGUAUCGGCUAACUCCGUGCCAGCAGCCGCGGUAAUACGGAGGAUACGAGCGUUAUCCGGAUUUAUUGGGUUUAAAGGGUGCGUAGGUGGCUGAUUAAGUCAGUGGUGAAAAGCUAUGGCUCAACCAUAGUCUUGCCGUUGAUACUGGUUAGCUUGAGUGUAGAUGAUGUAGGCGGAAUGCGUAGUGUAGCGGUGAAAUGCAUAGAUAUUACGCAGAACUCCGAUUGCGAAGGCAGCUUACAAAACUACUACUGACACUGAGGCACGAAAGCGUGGGUAUCAAACAGGAUUAGAUACCCUGGUUACGUCGGCAACGAUGAAACUCAAAGGAAUUGACGGGGGCCCGCACAAGCGGAGGAACAUGUGGUUUAAUUCGAUGAUACGCGAGGAACCUUACCUGGGAUUGAAAUGUAUAGGCUGGCAACUGGAAACAGAUGCUGUUCACUUCGGUGACUUAUAUGUAGGUGCUGCAUGGUUGUCGUCAGCUCGUGCCGUGAGGUGUCGGCUUAAGUGCCAUAACGAGCGCAACCCUUAUCGUUAGUUGCUAACAGGUUAAGCUGAGGACUCUGGCGAGACUGCCGUCGUAAGGCGAGAGGAAGGUGGGGAUGACGUCAAAUCAGCACGGCCCUUAUAUCCAGGGCGACACACGUGUUACAAUGGUGAGGACAAAGGGUAGCUACCUGGUGACAGGAUGCCAAUCUCCAAACCUCAUCUCAGUUCGGAUCGAAGUCUGCAACUCGACUUCGUGAAGCUGGAUUCGCUAGUAAUCGCGCAUCAGCCAUGGCGCGGUGAAUACGUUCCCGGGCCUUGUACACACCGCCCGUCAAGCCAUGGAAGCUGGGGGUACCUGAAGUGCGUGACCGCGAGGAGCGUCCGAGGGUAAGACCGGUGACUGGGGCUAAGUCGUAACAAGGUAGCCGUACCGGAAGGUGCGGCUG